UUUUAGCUCUCUUUUUAAUAUUGCCUACUUUAGAUAAAUAGUAUAGUAUUUCGUAACUAGUUUUAUUUUAUCAUUAUUAGGAAAUAAAACAAAAGAAAAAAAAGAGAAGCAAAAAAUGGAGAUAGAGAUCAGAUCUUAGAGCUCCCCUUUAGGAGAACAACGGCGCACCCUUCCCUGUUUCUUUUUCAUUUUUCUUUCUCAAAAAAAACCACAACCAAAAGAUAAAGGAGAAAGCCCCAAACUCAUCCCGAUAGCACUCAUGAAAAUACCCCAAGCUCCAUUAAAACUGAUCCCAGAACCAGCUGAGAACCAGGCCUAAAAACAGUCCGUAAACCACAAAAAUUGUCACCUAAAACGGUCCAAAAAUGCAGCCAAACCAGCUCCAAAAGCAGCUGAAACGUCACCCAAAAACUAGCUGAAACGCAAUACCAAACCACCCAAAAAAUGGUAGUCGUCGCACCAUGUUUGCCGAUGAACAGAGGUUCAUUUUAACUGUGUAAGAACACUCAAGUUCAGUUGAUUUUUGAGUUGGGUUCAAGUUUUCCGGCGCCGGCGUGGGUCUUGAUCGGAUUGUUGUUUGUUUGCUGCUGUUUCGCUUAUCGAAUUUGCGGGUGUUCUUAGCCUUUAUUUGGUCUUGCUAAGUUUGAUUCUUACUGUUGAGGUAUGUAGCUUAGUUUACACAAUGUAAUUGUUAUAAUUGAUUAAUUGAAUAUCAUGAUAUUAUUCAGUUUGUUCACUUUGUGUCUGUAUGUGUGAGAUUAGUUUACUUAUGUACUUGAUGACUGUAAAUUACUACAACUUUGGUUUGGGAAACGUUAGAUUGUUAAGUUUCUAUAUAGAUGAUGAAAAAUGGAUACUGGUAUAGCAAGUUGAGUUUAACAUGGG
RNAcentral lists this long non-coding RNA (885 nucleotides) under Nicotiana benthamiana. RNAcentral describes it as "long non-coding RNA (NBEN_LNC033290)". Lineage: Eukaryota; Viridiplantae; Streptophyta; Magnoliopsida; Solanales; Solanaceae. The record is from RNAcentral.